AUGUCCUCACUUCCUGAGCUUCAGAUCGGGUCUCCUGUUGGGGAGGAAGCAAGCCUUUAUGGACAUUUCUCCCCUCGUGCUACAUCAUGUUCGCCGAUGUCUGUACUGCUCACUGGCCCUGGGUGUGUAGUCAUCGAUGAGGUCAUGGCUCCAGUGCUGGAGAUUAUGCCUGAGUUGCAGGAGCGUUGUGGGAAGCCUACUUCACCUCUUUCAAUGGUGCUUCCGAAGGAGAUGAGGCAGGUGAUGUCUGUGGGUGGCGAGGUUGAUGAGGUAGGUGCGUUGGCACCUAUCUCUGGGGCGCAACUACAGGGUUUGCCUCUGCCAUGUGUGCAACUGAAGGCGCCUGAGUCCAUUGUGUCGGUGGUACCCGUGGCUGAGCAUGUUAAUGCAGUGGUGUCUGUGAGGGACAAGGUUGAUGAGAUUCUAUUUGAGAUACAAGUCAGCAGCUUGCUCGCACGUUUGGAGGCGGUCAGCCCUGGAUCUGGCAAGAUGAUUGUGGAGAAGGCUCUCAGGAGCAAAACUAAGUAG
This 528-nucleotide ribosomal RNA is filed under the name Triticum aestivum (bread wheat). Its description in RNAcentral is "partial small subunit ribosomal RNA". Lineage: Eukaryota; Viridiplantae; Streptophyta; Magnoliopsida; Poales; Poaceae. The record is from RNAcentral.